RNAcentral lists this ribosomal RNA (2529 nucleotides) under Triticum aestivum (bread wheat). RNAcentral describes it as "partial small subunit ribosomal RNA". Lineage: Eukaryota; Viridiplantae; Streptophyta; Magnoliopsida; Poales; Poaceae. The record is from RNAcentral.
AUGCCAACCAUGGCAAUGGCGUUCCCAACCCUACCAGUUACCCUCACAUGCCUCACACUGUUAGCUCUCUUGUCGAUUGUCAUGGCAGCUGAUAGCAACUCCACGGCCACUGGCCUCAUUCUUCUAGAUUGCGGAGCAUCAAGCCCAAAUGUUGAUGAUAGUGGUCGUAUUUGGGAUGGGAACGCCGGCUCCAAGUUCGCGCCAUCAGUGAAAGGAGUUGCAGCCACUGCUUCAUACCAAGACCCUUCACUCCCCUCCUUGGUCCCUUAUAUUACUACACGCAUCUUCACUUCAAAUUACACCUAUCACUUCCCUGUCAGUCCAGGCCGCCUGUUCUUACGCCUCUACUUCUAUCCGAUUGCUUAUGCAAACUAUGCUGUCUUCGAUGCCUUCUUUGAUGUCACCGCAGGAAAUCUUGUACUCUUAAAUGGCUUCAAUGCUUCGCAAACUGCUCAGGCGAUCAAUUCUGCCUACCUUGUCCGUGAAUUUUCAGUGAAUGUUUCUUCAGGCAACUUGGACCUCACCUUUGCCCCAUCAGCAUAUCAGAAUGGUUCUUAUGCAUUUGUCAAUGGCGUUGAGAUUGUGUCUACGCCUGACAUCUUUACAACAUCUAACUCAAGAUUUGUCGACGGCGGUAACACAUUUCCAUUCUCAUUCGCCGCUGACACAGGCUUCCAGACUAUGUACCGGCUCAAUGUCGGGGGCGAUGCCAUUUUGCCGAUAUAUGACUCGGGCUUUUACCGCUCAUGGAACAGUGAUUCCUCGUACUUGUACUUAUUUGGUGCCUCGGGAGUGACCGUCUCCAAAGAUUUCAAUUUGACCAUUCAGUAUACACCCACAGUGCCGAAUUACACUGCGCCAUUUGAUGUCUAUGGUACAGCUCGGUCAAUGGGGCCAAAUGCACAGGACAACCUGAACAGCAACCUUACAUGGAUUUUACCCGUUGAUGCAGGGUUCGCUUACCUCAUAAGGUUCCAUUUCUGUCAGAUUAAGUAUCCUAUUACCAAGGUGAAUCAGAUGUCGUUCUUCAUCUACAUCAACAACCAGACAGCGCAGCAGCGAAUGGAUGUCAUUUUCUGGAGCGGAGGAAUCGGUAGAACAGCAUACAAAGACUAUGCUAUCAUGGCUAUUGGUUCCGGUCAGGUGGACAUAUGGAUUGCACUUCACCCUGAUCUUUCAAGUGAACCAGAGUAUUUUGAUGCAAUACUUAAUGGUCUUGAGGUUUUCAAGCUACAGGAUUACGAAUCGAACAAUCUUGCUGGGCUCAAUCCUCCACUUUCGCAAUUCACUGAUCUUAACAGUGUUGCAAGAAAAUCCUAUGAUGACAUACCAGCAGUCAUGGGUGGAAUUACUGGCGGUUCUGCUUUGAUGUUGAUUGCCCUUUUCAGCACGUUUGUUAUCUGCACACGGAAGAAGGUAGCAAAAAGUUCUUGCAAGACCGACUAUGGACAUCUGAAUCAUCCCACUGAACUCAGAAAGUCCACAUGUGAUCUUGUCCGUCACUUCUCAUUUACAGAAAUUCAAGUUGCCACCAAAGACUUUGAUGAAGCACUUAUCAUUGGCAGAGGCAGUUUCGGGGAUGUCUACAAUGGAGAGAUAGACGGAGGGACAAAGGUGGCGAUCAAGCGAUUCAACAAGAAAUCCCGGCAAGGCUUUCAUGAGUUUCAGACUGAAAUCGAGAUGCUGUGCAAUUUCCGCCAUCGCCACCUUGUAUCUUUGAUUGGCUACUGUGAGGAGAAGAAUGAGAUGAUUCUGGUGUAUGACUAUAUGGCUCAUGGAACAUUGCGUGAGCACCUAUACAACACCAGAAACCCACCACUGCCGUGGCAGCAACGCCUUGAGAUUUGCAUCGGUGCAGCCCGGGGACUGCAUUACCUCCACACUGGCGCAGAGCUAGGAAUCAUCCACCGUGACGUUAAGAGCACCAACAUCCUAUUGGAUGAUAGGUUCAUGGCAAAGGUUUCCGACUUCGGUCUGUCUAAGGCUAGUCCAGACAUUGACAACACCCACAUGAGCACUGCUGUGAAAGGCACCUUUGGAUAUCUUGAUCCGGAGUACUUCCGGCUGCAGCGUCUCACCAAAAAAUCAGAUGUGUACUCUUUCGGGGUCGUGUUGUUUGAGACCCUGUGUGCACGCCCUGUGAUAAACACCGAGCUCCCCGAGGAGCAAGUGAGCUUGCGUGACUGGGCACUAUCUUGCUGGAAGAAUGGUGUACUCGAGGAGAUUGUUGACCCCCGUGUUAAGGAGGAAAUCACCCCUGAGUGCUUCAGGAUUUUUGCAGAGAUAGCAGAGAAAUGCGUUGCUGAUCGUAGCAUAGAUAGGCCAUCAAUGGGUGAUGUACUCUGGAACCUUGAGGUCGCACUCCAGCUGCAGCAGGAUAGUGCAAGCUACAACGGCAACUGUGCAGAGGGUGCUUCAUUUCUUCGGAUCAGCGCGGUGCAUCAAGACAAACCAUCCACCAACUCAACAAUUAGCAUCACAGCACAGGAAGCCAUAUUUUCAGAUAUUGCGCAUCCAGAAGGCCGAUAA